Molecule: microRNA precursor, 98 nt
Filed under: Chlorocebus sabaeus (green monkey)
Lineage: Eukaryota; Metazoa; Chordata; Mammalia; Primates; Cercopithecidae
Description: miRNA (ENSCSAG00000023737.1)
Source: RNAcentral
UCACUAUGUUGACCAGGCUGGUCUUGAACUCCUGACAGUUGAUCCACCUGCCUCUGCCUCCCAAAGUGCUGGGAUUACAGGCAUGAGCCACCGCGCCC